AACUCGGUGAACGCUUUAAAAUCACAGUCACGACAACAAAUGACAGCGAUUUUUCGUUUUUGCGAUCAUGUAACACACAUCUCCCACCGAAAUGACGUCAUCUUGGAUCGUUCUCUGUCACGGUCACUUGUAGGGAUUUAUCCAAGUUAUAACGCAGUUUUUACGUAUCGAUAGUCAGUUUAAGCGAUUAUGUAAGCAUAAUGAUCAUACAACUGGGUGACACAGAAGUUGUCAAAGUCAAUCGCUAUAGAAACUAAUACCGAGCAGUGUUUUAAUAAAGUUUACUUGACGCCUGUGAUUCAAUAAUUACAAAUAAAAGUACUUUUAGGAUUUUUUUGAAUUUUGUACUAUACCUUGUAAGUAAGGUAUUAGUUUGUAAGUCAAUAAAAUCAGAAUUAGAAAAGUUUUUCAUGUAAAAUAUGACGAAAGUUGAGAAUAUAUAGUAGUGUUUACCGACAUUGCCAUGUACAAUACAAUGCAUGUAGCAUUUGUAUGGUACGCGGAAACGGAACGAAAAAGAUGUCUUUGUCGAGUUCAUUGCAAAACUUUCGUGUCGCGAUACCAGCAGGUUUUAGAAGAAAUACAAAGUCUUCGAACAACUGCUGUUCGCAAUGAAUUAGAGAUAAGUAAGUUAUAUGAAUGAAUGAAGGAAUUUUCUUCAUUCUCUGCGUUGAGCAAGUGACGUGGACUAUGGGCCUAACCCCUCUCAUUCUGAGAGGAGACUCGAGCUCAGCAGUGAGCCGAAUAUGGUAUUUUUAUAUGGUCUUGGCAGCUUUAAACUUUUAUGCCAAUGGAUCAUACAAAUGGCUUUGUGAUGGCUAAGGCAUCUUUUAGCAAAUGCCUACAUGAAGUCGCUGACGCUCCUGAAUACCCCAGCUGUUUAAAAAAAAUGUGUUAAGUUCCCUUUGCAUUAAACACAAAAUCAUUAUAAAUAAAUAUGUGAUGCCAAUCUAAUAAUAACAUAGUGGAUGCUCAAUUUGGUGGUGCAUCUUAUGACUUGUACAUAUGGAACCAGUGCAAUAAGACCACUUGAGGAAAACCUGCCCAAUAGGGACCGCUGUUGGUUGUUAGGUGACCAAUGUUUGCAUGAUGACCCACAUCUUGGGAGCUGCUCCUAGAUCCCAUGAAGAUAUGCACAACAUUGCUGUGUCAGAAAUACGGUGGAGCCUUGUAGUUGGGUGCAUAUUGUAAAAUGUUUCCUCACUCCAAAACCAUGAACUCUGGUUUCCUAAACCCUCAAGCUAUGCAGCCGAAGGAGGAGACUUAUCACAGGAGAAUCACUAAUAAUUUUGAAGAAGUGAAGAGCUUAACAAUGUUUCAACCAACACCUAAAGAAGCUUUCACGGUGCCAAGCCAGUGAUGUUUUAAUUAAAUACGUUUGAACUACAAAAUUUCUGUGGUUAUUCCAGAAACAGCUUUAAUUAAAAUACGACACUGGCUUGGCACCGCCUUCAAACUGAUCAGAAGGUAGCACAUAGGUAGGAUGUUAUUUUUUGCUUUUUAGUUAAAGUUAUUUUUUGAGUUGGAAGUCGGUUGAAUUUUUUUUAUUAAAAUUUUUAUUUUUUUAUUUUUAGUGUUAGCAUACCCACUGCGUGUGAACAGUCACAACCUAUCUAAGUGGAAAGUUCUUAUCAAUACAAAAUUAUCAAGUCCAAACACAAGGUAGCUACUGUGAGCCGUCGAGGAGUUCUCUUCACUGUGCUUCGUCUUCAUCACCAGACCCUUAAUACAGUCGCAAUCCAUCUAGGUGGAAAGUUCUCAUCAAUACAAAUUUAUCAAGCCCAAACACAAGGUAGCUACUGUGAACCGUCGAGGAGUUCUCUUCACUGUCCCUCGUCUUCAUCACCAGACCCUUAAUACAGUCACAAUCCUUCUAGGUGGAAAGUUCUCAUCAAUACAAAUUUAUCAAGUCCAAACACACGGUAGCUACUGUGAACCGUCGAGGAGUUCUCUUCACUGUCCCUCGUCUUCAUCAUCAGACCCUUAGUACAGUCACAAUCCAUCUAUGUGGUAAGUUCUCAUCAAUACAAAUUUAUCAAGUCCAAACACAAGGUAGCUACUGUGAACCGUCGAGGAGUUCUCUUCACUGUCCCUCGUCUUCAUCACCAGACCCUUAAUACAGUCACAACCCAUAUAGGUGGAAAGUACUCAUCAAUACAAAUUAAUCAAGCCCAAACAAAAGGUGACUGCUGUAAAUCCUUGACGAGUUCCAUCGUCUGUGUUUCGGCUCCAUCAUCAGACCAACUCCAAAUCUUCAUAAAGUUGUAGUGGUUUAAAAUACCUUAUGGAAACACUAACAAACGUACUAGCCUUCUCUACAACUUUCGAAAGUUCCCUUCAAUUUCUCCAGGAUGCCAUCAUCAGAUCUUGACAUGAAAAAAAUGGGACCACCCUGGAAGUAAACCCUACAAAACAAAAAAAGAAUUUUCAAAAUCGGUCCAUAAUUGACGGAAUUAUCGCUGGACAUACAUAAAAAAAAAAAAAAAAAAAACAUACAUACAGCCGAACGUAGAACCUCCUCCUUUUUGGAAGUCGGUUAAAAAUAUAAAGUACAAAUUAUUAUUUGAAUUAGCAAUUAUUAUCAUUAAGAAUUACAUACACUGGAUUAGGUAAUACUAUUCAUUCAUUCAUGAUUAGACCAAUAGUCCACCACUCUGACCCAAAGCGGAUUAGCAGACUUCACAUAAGCAGAGAAUUAAGAGAAUUAUCUGGUAUGCAGGUUUCCUCACGAUGUUUUCCUUCACCAUUUGAUACAUGUGAUAUUUAAUAUCUUAAAAUGUACACAACUGAAAAGUUGGAGCUGCAUGCCCCGGACUGGAUACAAACCCACACCCUCUGGAAUCUGAGGCAGAGGUUACAUCCACUGGGCUAUUGCUGUGCUUAUGGACCUAUAUCCCUGGCAAACCCUCUAGUCUAUACUCUGCAGCAACUGGGCUUUUAUGGGAUUAAACUGAGCUCUUUUGUUUUUUGAUUUGCGUUAUAUUUUAUCCAGUUUUGUAGGAGAUACAUAUACUUGUAGGAUUUAACUUAACUAUAUAUUGUAAUUGAAAUUUGAAUUAAUUAUUUUAAGUGGCUAGCCUCAAUCAUCAUAAAAAAAUUACUAAUCAAGGUAGGAUUUUAUAUUUAGCCUUAAUGUAACUAAAACAAACACCUACAAAUACAAACAAUUCUAAUACAUCUGCAUAAUGAGACAAAGUUUGAUUUUGAUUAUUUGUCUUGUACUUAAUGCUUAGAACUUAAAGGUUACAUGGUGCAGGUAUAGUUGUGGUUUAAAAAGGCUUGUUAAUGCAAUAUGCUAGUCACAAAACCAAGUAUUAUGUUAAACUUAUAAUAGAAAAUCAUGAAUUUCAAUUGAAUAUAAUUACUAUCUUACACUCGCAAGUUAUGUGAGUUUCUAUUGGUGAAAGAAUUUUCGAAAUCGGUUUAGUAGAUCCAGAGAUUACCCCCUACAAUAUCAAAAAUUUCCUCUCAUCCUCUUUAAAAUAAUAAUAUAGAAUAUAGAUAUGUGAUAACUUACACAACGCCACUGGCAGACGCGAACACGGAAGGUUUAUUUAGUAGCCUGACUUUCCAAAGGCCCUCCAAAACAACCCAUCGCCAAGUUUGAUCCAAGCCAAGGCGAUCAUUGAGUUUCCCGGACAUCUUUAGUUGCAAGCGAUGAACUUUAAUAAACAAAACACUAUACAAUAUACUUUACAUAUUAUCACAACGACCAUUAAAUUAAUCAUAGGCAGACGAUAAAACUUUGAAGAACUUUCGUGUAGAUAAUGUUUUAUGUAAAAGUGGCCGUUUACUUUGAUAAAUUAACUAUUAACACUAAUAAAAAUGUAUACGAUAAAAUGAUUAAUUAAUUACUUCUAUUGAAAACAAAAAACUAGCAGUAGCAAGUACUUUGAUCCAACGAAACCAAAUUUUUUAUUAAUAUUUUAAUACGGCUUUGUUUACCAACAAAGAAACUAUGGCACUUCACUUCACCACAGACAAACAGCAAAAUCAAGUAUAAUGCGUAUAUGUGCAAAAGUAUGCCGCACCUGUAGUAAGUAGUACCGGGAAAGGGUGUAUUUUAUUUAGUCGCAUAAUGUCGAUAAAAUUUUGCGCCUAGAACGAUAUCACUAGGCAUUGUGGCUGUCUUUUGUCUUACAUAAUCGGAAUUGCAAAAACACUCUAGUGUUCAAUUUAGCUUUGCGUUACACAGUUAGAAGUGAUACGUCGAGAUACAUAAUCAGCCUGCAGAUAAGUACAUUAACCAGC
This is a long non-coding RNA of Bicyclus anynana (squinting bush brown), 4251 nucleotides long. RefSeq lists it as uncharacterized. NCBI's taxonomy places the organism in Eukaryota, Metazoa, Arthropoda, Insecta, Lepidoptera, Nymphalidae. The record is from RefSeq and is a predicted model, not a curated record. The transcript is spliced from 7 exons.